CACGUAGGGCGCAAGCGUUGUCCGGAAUUAUUGGGCGUAAAGAGCUCGUAGGCGGUCUGUUGCGUCCGCUGUGAAAACUCGGGGCUUAACCCCGAGCCUGCAGUGGAUACGGGCAGACUAGAGGUAGGUAGGGGAGAAUGGAAUUCCCGGUGUAGCGGUGAAAUGCGUAGAUAUCGUAAGGAAGACCAGUGGCGAAGGCGGGUCUCUGGACAGUUCCUGACGCUGAGGCACGAAGGUCAGGGGAGCAAACGGG
This 253-nucleotide ribosomal RNA is filed under the name uncultured bacterium. Its description in RNAcentral is "partial 16S ribosomal RNA". It matches the Rfam family "Bacterial small subunit ribosomal RNA", at positions 524 to 776 of the family's 1533-position model. The record is from RNAcentral.